CAGUCGCCGCGGUAAAACGGAGGGAGCUAGCGUUGUUCGGAAUUACUGGGCGCAAAGCGCACGUAGGCGGUUACUCAAGUCAGAGGUGAAAGCCCGGGGCUCAACCCCGGAACUGCCUUUGAAACUAGGUGGCUAGAAUCUUGGAGAGGUCAGUGGAAUUCCGAGUGUAGAGGUGAAAUUCGUAGAUAUUCGGAAGAACACCAGUGGCGAAGGCGACUGACUGGACAAGUAUUGACGCUGAGGUGCGAAAGCGUGGAGAGCAAACAGGAUUAGAUACCCCCGUAGUCCCUGUCUCUUAUAA
This 301-nucleotide ribosomal RNA is filed under the name uncultured bacterium. Its description in RNAcentral is "partial 16S ribosomal RNA". It matches the Rfam family "Bacterial small subunit ribosomal RNA", at positions 509 to 809 of the family's 1533-position model. The record is from RNAcentral.